UAGAGUCAUGUAUGGUGGAAGCAUGGAGUCGAUUUAGAGGCAACAAGGUCACGAAAUCAGCCCUCUAAGGGGCUGAUCGAACAGCAGCAGAAAACAGGAGCAAACAAGUCCCAUCUUCUUCCUUCCUUUUGGUUCUUGAUUAUCAAUGGCUUGUUACGGCCAAUAAACAACUCCAAGGGCAACCAAGAAAAUGGAGACCCAACAACACUCUUAAUCUUCUUGUUUUGAUCUUCAAAGGGAUAGUCUUGGCUUUGAAAUGUGAUUGGGAAACGUGACGG
This is a long non-coding RNA of Erigeron canadensis, 278 nucleotides long. RefSeq lists it as uncharacterized. Lineage: Eukaryota; Viridiplantae; Streptophyta; Magnoliopsida; Asterales; Asteraceae. The transcript is spliced from 3 exons. The record is from RefSeq and is a predicted model, not a curated record.